AGUAGGCCUGAGUCGGUGAAAAGCUUCUGGGGGGCGGGACAGAAUGGGGGUAUUGGGCAGAGGACGGGGUUGCUAGCCAGUUGCACUUUGGCCCGGCCCGGGCCCUAGUUGCUGACCACAAGUCUUCCUUCUACCCUCAGGUGAAGACUCUGCUAUAAAUCUUUCGUUAGGAAGCUGCUGCUUGAGAGGCUUUGUCUCUCUGUGACUGGGGCGAGACAUCUUCUACCCGAAGUCUCCUCUGAUUAGGAAGGCUCCAGGAGAGGUGGAGUAGAUCUCUCCAUUGAAAGCUGGGGCCAGCCGAGGUGGGCAGUCCUCCCUCCCCCAAAAGCCCCCAGGAGUCCUCAUUCCAAAGGAAGAGUCUGGCUGCCCUGGGGGCUGAUUUCCACCUUCAGUUCUCCUCACUCCUGCUGCCUCUCCUCCUCCACCUUUCCUGAGAGAUCUAUCGCCUCCUGCAAGAGUUCAGUGAAUCCGUUUGGGGGCUGUCUAAAAGAACCACUCACGGCUCCGAAAAGGAGGGGCUGUAGCCCUUUAAGGACCUCGCCGGGAUGGAUUCAGAGAUGAGUUUAAAAAUGCCAACUCACAGAGCGCGCUGGAUUCUGGGAACGAGGUGUCAGACCGAGAACUACACUGACCAGUAUGCACUGCAAACACACACGCCUUUACUUCCUUCUGCUUUUUAGGACUCGGGUUUGACGUAGCGCCCCUCUAAGCAUGUUAGCCUAGGCGGAGGGCUGAGCCACACCUUUUCACCUAUUGGCCAGCUCGCAACUUGGUGGGCGUGGCCUAGCGCUACUCUACUAGGCAAAGGGGUGGCUUCCUUGCCAGUCAGAGCUAAGACGGUCGGGGAGGCGGGACCAGGGCUAAGCGCUGGCGCCCUCGAGUGGGUGUGGUCACGCUGCCCAGCAGUGGGCGGUGAUUGGCCCUGGGCGGUGCAAUCGCAGCUUGUGCGUCACGACGCCGCCAGCUGAUCGCAGACUGUAGCCGGUGUGUGCUGGGCGCUGGGAAGAGACAGCGCCGCCGGCCGUGGGGAUCGGACGCACUGAUUUGCUCCCCUACCCUCAGCACCCCCCCCACCCAGCACCAGGUGGGUGUGAGAUGGGGUCCCGGCCGCACAGGAGGGAACCAUGCUAACGGGGUAAUGGGGGAAAGUAGGGUCCUGACGGCCACACCCUGCCCUUCCGGGGGAGGGGAGAGGGGGCGGCGGAGGCUCGGGCGCUCCGGGGGAGAGGGGCCUGGACUGGCUGGAGUAGUGUGUCAGGAGGUUUAAAGAAGGAGUCCGGGACAGUAGUCGUGCGGAGGGUUUUGCGGAGUAGCUGGGAGAAAGACGAGGGGCCGGAGCGCUGGGGGCGGCUAACCUCGGCGCCCUCUGGUCGAGGAUACGGGAGCCGGCCUCCCAGCUUGGGGAGGAUUUGGACUGGGCGGGUAGCGGGGAGGUGCUUUGCCUCUACCGGCACUCAUUGGGUCAGGGCCAGUUGAGCGCCCUGGCAGGGAAGGGGUCUCUGGGCGGGCCGGCCCCUCCUCUCGUUCCCUCCAGGGGAUGUUAUGUAAGGGGGGAGGGGAGAGGAGUAGGGGGCGGCGGUGCGGGGGGGGCCUUAUGCAACCCAAAGGUUAGGGUUUCACCGCGGGUUGGUGGGGGGAGAAGGCAGGAGGAGAGCCUGGAAACUCUAACCCCCCCCUCCCCAGCCUAACUGGCCGUCUUGGGCCGAGAGAAGGUCACCUCUGCACCUCCCCCCAGCCUGUCCGGUUGUGGGGCCCCUAGCCCAGGCCUGGCCCUGACCGCCUGGGAAGCCGGCUGGCUGGGUGGGGCGCCUGGGUUAGUCAUCACUGGGCUCCCUCUCUCCCCACCUCUCGGCCAACUCUUGGCCCCUCCCCGUGGCCUCUGGCUAGGCUAUUGCCCCCACCUCCCUUCGGCUGUAGUUCCAGCCUCCAACUCAUUUGGCCUGUCAUCCUGGCUGUUAGACUGGGCUAGGAGCUGUCAGGGGGCCAAAGGGCUGAUGGAGCAGCUGGUCAGAGGGUCAGUGCCCUGGGCCCACCCCGCCCUGCAGCCAAGGGCACCUGCUUGGCACAGACUCUCAGCAGCAACUGAGUCCUAUGGGCUGAACAGAGCCUGCUCAGACAGAGAGGAGUGGGAAGGAGUUGGACUGGUCACCUGGGAGAAGGAAGAUACCACAAAGUUCAUGCCUCCCAAGAGGGUUUUGUAAUUUGAAAACCUCCCACCCUAAUCUUUCUUACCCUCGGAGUAUAGAAAUCUCAAGGCAGGACCGCCUUGGCUCCUUAAACUGGCAUGGGCCAUGCCCUCGGACUAAGUGUCAGCACAGACCCACCCUCCCGAGCUCACAGCCCUCAAAGCCUGCCACACCCCCAGCCCCCUCCCUGGGCCAUGCUGCAGGGCCCGGCUUUUCCUGCUGAUUCAUGCGUUGGAACUGUGGGGGCGGGGCUUGGAACUUGGAACAAAGUUCAGUCAUGGAGGGGACGGCAGACAGCCUGGAAUUCAUACCAGAUGUACCCGGAACGUGCAAGCGGAAUGCCUGGCAUUUAAGAGUCCUGGGGAAGCUGCCCAACCACCCUGCCCUACCUCCCUCCCCUCCAGCCUCUGGUCCCCUGUCCUUUCCUCACAGUCCCAGGAGCCUCUGCUGACCUUCUUCCAAACUCUAGACCUCCUCCCUUCCUCACUCUUCCCCAGAUGUAAGCCCCCCAAAACUCUUCUUCCAGCUGAACUCCCUGGGACCAAGUCAGUUGGGCUGAUCCCUGAACUCGCAUUUCUGGAUCUGAGGCACCUGUACCUCCCACAUCCUCACCUGGCUGAGCCGCAGUAGUUCUUCAGUGGCAAGCUUUAUGUCCUGACCCAGCUAAAGCUGCCAGUUGAAGAACUGUUGCCCUCUGCCCCUGGCUUCGAGGAGGAGGAGGAAGAAGAGAAGGAGCUGCCUUCCCCUCAUCUGGAAGGUGACAGAACUGGGUCUGGGAAGGUCUGAACAGCGAGCGUGAUGAUACCUUUGGGAAAGGGAACCCUAUUCAGCUGGAGAACCUUCACCCAGAUUGAGCCAGCAGGAGAGAAAAUUUCAGAUUAGAGACCUUGGCUGAAUUGGGGAAUAGAUGGCUCUGACUACACCCAAGGUUAGUUGGUCUCUGUGUGACAAUGGGAAGAAGUGGAGCAAAGAAAACCCUGCCCACCCCUUUACCUAGAUGUCUUUCCUGACCCUCCUUCCUUCCUCGUCCCUCCUCCUUUCCUACUGGCCUUUCCAAGUUCAAAAGUAAGUUUCCUCUUCAGGGAAAAGGUCAUACUGAGACUCCCAUCUAAGUAGUCAUCCCCCUGCUCUUAAUUUUUCCCCGUAUUUCCUUAGUCUGGCCCAGACUCUAGAUUCAGGGAUACUUACCUCUAUGUGAGACCCUUAGACCGCCUGUCUCAUCUUCCCCCUUCUCAUCUGUGAGGUGGGGAAUCACACAGUUGAGCAUGCGUGAGGGAAUCAGAAGCCCACUUGUGUGGACUCAGAGCCUGGGCUCUCCUCCACAGUGGGUGGGAACAAAACAGCUUUUCACAUAAGCUGUUGCCCUUCCCCCAUCCCUGACCAGAACCCCAGGAGCUGGGGGUGGAGGUUGGAGGGAGGGACUAGGGUUAGACCAAUGCAAGGGGCUGCUGGGAAAUCAGUCUCUGCAUUGACUUCCCACCAAUCAAAGGUGGCCCAGGCUUCCCCUGCCUCCCAAAGCAGGGCUGCAGCCCCUGAUGGGUUCCAGCUGCCACUGCUCUCUUCCCCCACUCACUUUUCCAGGAUAGUGUGUGAGAUUUAGCUCAGGCCUGUGCACGCUGGAAAUUCUCCCCUCCAGCAACCAGGAGAGAUAGGUUAUGGCAUGUAAUCCCUUUAGGGGCAUCAGGCAGAGUAAACUUGCCGCCCCCAGCUCCUGAUCUAAUGUCACUCUAAGGCUCAGGCUCUGGUGUGGUUCAGCCUUGGCCCAGUCUCCCUGUCUGAAGGUGACCAAGUUCAGGGGUUACAGGAAGCUGUUUGUUCCGUGUGGGGGCAGAAGUUGUGCAGGGAGCUGGGUCCUAUUCUCCAUUUAUGAGAAACAGAUUUAGGGCAGAGUAGAUCACUGAACCCACCCUUCUGCAGCCUAAGCUGGAUGUGUGUGGGACUGCGGUAGAGGGGGGUGGGUAGACUGAGUCCACUCAUAGGUUGCCACAAGGGUCGCUCUGUCCCUAGACAUUGCUUCCAUCCUUUCUGCCCCUCCUCGCUUCACUGGUCACAGUGUCUCCCUCCAGCCUUGGGUAUGUGGCUCUGCCAUCCUCACCCAUCAUGGAGCAGAAAUGAGGAAGAGCAGCCUGGGAACACAGAGGCAGGCAGAAGACUAGUGAAGGACCAGGCCUGGAGAGCACAGGGCCCUGUCUGGACAUCUGCUGAGGGGGGCCCAUAGAGGCCAGGAGAGCCCCAGGAGGAGGGAGAACGGCCAGCCUCCAUCGAGGACAAGCUUCCAGCCAUCUACUUCAUUCUCCGUUGCUCUCCAGUCGUUCUGCCUCCCUCAGAGAUGUGGGACCAUGUUAAAGCGUCCUUGGCUUCAUCCUGCUGCUUCCACCUCUCCCCACCAUGUAAUUUAGCUGUGAAAGGACAUAUGCAGAAAAUUCUUAAAAGAAAUUCAAAUGGAUUUGAAUGUGUGGGAAAAAAUGUGUGCUUCAUUAGUAAUUAAAGAGAGGCAAAUAUAGCUGAAAGCAUUUUUCCCGUAGCAAACUAUAACAGAAAAAAAUAAGACCCAGUUAUUGGCAAAGGAGUACUAAAAUAACACUCUGUACAUUGCAUAUGGGCGUACAAAUUGGUACAGCCUUACUGAUGUCAGUUUGGUAAUAUGUAUCAAACAUCCUAAAAGUUUCCAUGGCCUUUGACCUAGUAAUUCUACAUUUGGGAAUUUAUCCUAAGGAAAUAAGUAAAGAUUAGUUUAAAUGAUGUUCAUCCCAGCAUUGCAGUAGAGAAAAAUGAGAAGCAACUAUCUGGUUGGGAAUUGAUUUCUUUUCUGCUAUAAUUGAAAUUUGCAAGAGGGGGUUGCUUAAGUAAAUUAUUGUAUAUCCAUCCGGAUGGUGGGGUGGAGUGCUGUGCAGCCAUUAAAAGUCACAUAGAAGAACAUUUGACUGGAAAGAAAAAUGCUCCUUGAACAUUAAAAAGGUUAUAAAAAUGGUG
This is a non-coding RNA of Delphinapterus leucas (beluga whale), 5159 nucleotides long. The record is from RefSeq and is a predicted model, not a curated record. NCBI's taxonomy places the organism in Eukaryota, Metazoa, Chordata, Mammalia, Artiodactyla, Monodontidae.